CCUACGGGUGGCAGCAGUGGGGAAUAUUGGACAAUGGGGGAAACCCUGAUGCAGCGACGCCGCGUGAGUGAGGAAGUAUUUCGGUAUGUAAAGCUCUAUCAGCAGGGAAGAAAAUGACGGUACCUGACUAAGAAGCCCCGGCUAACUACGUGCCAGCAGCCGCGGGAAUACGUAGGGGGCAAGCGUUAUCCGGAUUUACUGGGUGUAAGGGGAGCGUAGACGGUUAAUCAAGUCAGAAGUGAAAACCCCGGGCUCAACCUUGGGACUGCUUUUGAAACUGAGUAGCUAGAGUGCAGGAGAGGGAAGCGGAAUUCCUGGUGUAGCGGUGAAAUGCGUAGAUAUUAGGAGGAACACCAGUGGCGAAGGCGGCUUACUGGACUGUAACUGACGUUGAUGCUCGAAAGCGUGGGGAGCAAACAGGAUUAGAUACCCGUGUAGUC
RNAcentral lists this ribosomal RNA (440 nucleotides) under uncultured bacterium. RNAcentral describes it as "partial 16S ribosomal RNA". It matches the Rfam family "Bacterial small subunit ribosomal RNA", at positions 338 to 795 of the family's 1533-position model. The record is from RNAcentral.